RNAcentral lists this ribosomal RNA (1586 nucleotides) under Patescibacteria group bacterium. RNAcentral describes it as "bacterial SSU rRNA". It matches the Rfam family "Bacterial small subunit ribosomal RNA". The record is from RNAcentral.
UUCUCUGAGAGUUUGAUCCUGGCUCAGGAUGAACGCUGGCGGCGUGUCUAAGGCAUGCAAGUCGAACGCUCCUUCGCUCUUCACUUCGUUUAGAGCUUCGGAAGCGCACGGCGGGCUUUGUAAAAAGUCAGCUGUGCUCUCCGUAGCUCAAGCGUAGCGAUGAGUGGAGGAGAGUGGCAAACGGGUGCGUAACACAUUGGUAACCUGCCUCGAAGACGGGCACAACCCUUCGAAAGAGGGGCUAAUUCCCGAUACGGAUGCGGGGGCGCAAGCCAUUCGCAUUGAAAGCUCAAAAGGCACUUCGAGAGGGGCCUAUGGUCUAUCAGCUAGUUGGUGAGGUAACGGCUCACCAAGGCUCUGACGGAUAGCAGGCGUGAGAGCGCGACCUGCCUCAGUGGGACUGAGACACUGCCCACACUCCUACGGGAGGCUGCAGUCAAGAAUCUUCCUCAAUGGACGAAAGUCUGAAGGAGCGACGCCGCGUGCAGGAUUGAAGCCCUUCGGGGUGUAAACUGCUUUUACCAGGGACGAAUUUCGAUGACGGUACCUGGAGAAUAAGAGGUUGCUAACUCUGUGCCAGCAGCAGCGGUAAUACAGAGACCUCAAGCGUUAUCCGGAUUUAUUGGGCGUAAAGCGUCCGCAGGUGGCUGCGUAAGUCAUUGGUCAAAUCGUUGGGCUCAACCCAGCGGCUGCCGGUGAUACUGCGCGGCUUGAGGACGGGAGAGGCGAGCGGAAUUGCCGGUGUAGUAGUAAAAUGCGUUAAUAUCGGCAAGAACACCAAAGGCGAAGGCAGCUCGCUAGAACGUUCCUGACACUCAUGGACGAAAGCGUGGGGAGCGAAUAGGAUUAGAUACCCUAGUAGUCCACGCCCUAAACGAUGUGUGCUAGGUAUUGGGAGUAUCGACCCUCCCAGUGCCGCCGAAACAAGCUAACGCGUUAAGCACACCGCCUGGGGAGUACGGCCGCAAGGCUAAAACUCAAAGGAAUAGACGGGGACCCGCACAAGCGGUGGAGCAUGUGGUUCAAUUCGACGGUAAGCGAGGAACCUUACCAAGGUUUGACAUGGCACUGCAAGCGCACGGAAACGUGUGACCUUCGAGGGUGUGCCACAGGUGCUGCAUGGUUGUCGUCAGCUCGUGCCGUAAGGUGUACCGUUAAGUCGGGAAACGAGCGCAACCCCCAUCGUGUGUUUAAUAACCACGCGAGACUGCCCGCGUUAAGCGGGAGGAAGGCGGGGAUGACGUCAAAUCAGCAUGGCCCUUACGCCUUGGGCUACACACGUGCUACAAUGGCGCGCACAAUGGGUCGCGAAGCGGCAACGCGGAGCUAAUCCCACCAAAACGCGUCUCAGUUCGGAUUGAGGUCUGCAACCCGACCUCAUGAAGCUGGAAUCGCUAGUAAACGCGUAUCAGCCACGGCGCGUUGAAUACGUUCUCGGGUCUUGUACUCACCGCCCGUCACGCCAAGAGAGUCGGUAAUACCUGAAGUGCCCGCAAGGGUCCCAAGGUAGGAUCGAUGAUAGGGGCGAAGUCGUAACAAGGCAUCCGUAGCGGAAGCUGUGGAUGGAUCACCUCCUUUCUAGGGAG